RNAcentral lists this ribosomal RNA (208 nucleotides) under uncultured bacterium. Its description in RNAcentral is "partial 16S ribosomal RNA". It matches the Rfam family "Bacterial small subunit ribosomal RNA", at positions 524 to 731 of the family's 1533-position model. The record is from RNAcentral.
UACGAGGGGUGCAAGCGUUGCUCGGAAUUAUUGGGCGUAAAGGGUAGGUAGGUGGUCUCAUUUGUCCGGGGUGAAAGCCUUGAGCUUAACUCAAGAAGUGCCUCGGAAACGGUGAGACUAGAGUCUUGGAGAGGGUCGUGGAAUUCCCGGUGUAGCGGUGAAAUGCGUAGAGAUCGGGAGGAACACCAGAGGCGAAGGCGGCGACCUG